ACUACGGGAGGCAGCAGUGGGGGAUAUUGCACAAUGGGGGCAACCCUGAUGCAGCGACGCCGCGUGAGCGAUGGAGUACUUCGGUAUGUACAGCUCUGUCAGCAGGGAAGAGAAUGACGGUACCUGACCAAGAAGCCCCGGCUAAAUACGUGCCAACAGCCGCGGUAAUACGUAUGGGGCAAGCGUUAUCCGGAUUUACUGGGUGUAAAGGGAGCGUAGGCGGCAGGGUAAGCCUGAUGGGAAAGCCCGGGGCUCAACCCCGGGACUGCAUUGGGAACUGCCCCGCGCGAGGGCCGGAGGGGUAGGGUGAAUUCCUAGGGGAGCUGUGAAAUGCGUAGAUAUUAGGAGGAACACCAGUGGCGAAGGCGGCCUGCUUGACGGUGUAGUGACGCGGAGGCUCGAAAGCGGGGGGAGCAAACAGGAGUAGAUACACCAGUAGUC
RNAcentral lists this ribosomal RNA (441 nucleotides) under uncultured bacterium. RNAcentral's name for it is "partial 16S ribosomal RNA". It matches the Rfam family "Bacterial small subunit ribosomal RNA", at positions 338 to 795 of the family's 1533-position model. The record is from RNAcentral.